AGGUGAUAUCUUGCCUUGUAAAGCGACUUCUUAAGGCCACCGAGCCAUUCAUUACUCAUGAGGCCGUGGCCUGCACUAAGACAGCAAGGCAAUGCUGGAGUUCUUCAAUGCUACUCUUUAAGUGUACGCGUCUUUCCUUGAAAGACAAAUCUAUCUCAGGUGGAGAGGAUUCCUGCAAUCCGGAGGCGUGGCAGGCUUCCAUUGAUCCAAGAAAUUCUUGGCAUUAUCUAGCAUUCACCAAGAAUGGUUGGUUUGAAACUAUAGUGGAGAACGGUUAUCCUUUUUUUAUUUGGCUGUAGAAACUUCCUACCUCUUGAAUUGUAGGUGGCAGUGCUCCCAAGGAUGAGCGUUUUAUCUUCCAUGCUGAUGUUGAACCCUACAUUCUUGCAGAUAAGCUUAGAAUGGAAAGACUCGCCUAAUGGAACCAUCCAUCCUUGGAACAACACCAAGAAGUUUCAUCCCAGGAAUUAGGCACCUGGAAGAGGGAUGCAAUCACUGGUUACACUUCCCACAUGGACUUUCAUGCAUGAAUGACAGCCGCAUUCAUCUGUCAUCCUCUCCCAACGUCCCCAAUAAACGAAGAAAAUACUUGAUGACAGAUCAUAAUUAUUUUAAGAGUCAUGUACGUCCCCAUGCUCUAUUAUCUUGUCACAUAUAUGGAUCAUUCACACAAACAUGUAUUGGCCCAUGCUUAUUACUCGUAUCACCAUGGAAGCCAUCUUCUUUCCUUUUGUUCGGUCUCAUUGUCAAGCGAUCCCCGCGAGCAAGCAAGAUAGAUGUUAUGGGUGGCAAAACUAAUGGAAGCUUACAAAUCAUCCAAUGGAUGUAAAUCGCCCGCUACAUGAUCACUAUUCGUAGGUACACCUUAGUCUAAACCUCUCGACUACAUGCACUCAACGGAUCACCAGUUCAUGAAAACAUAACUUCGUUUAGGAUGUUCCUUGAUAAUUUAACAACGAAAGAGCCUACUGAAAAAGUACAUGGAUUUUCCAAAUAGAAGAAAAAGAUGAUAGAAGUAAUGAACAUUUGGCUAGUUCUCUCACACUCAUCUUCAUACGUAGCCUGAUGAUCUGAUCACAUCACUAAAAAAGGAAAAAG
Non-coding RNA from Phoenix dactylifera (date palm), 1098 nucleotides. Lineage: Eukaryota; Viridiplantae; Streptophyta; Magnoliopsida; Arecales; Arecaceae. The record is from RefSeq and is a predicted model, not a curated record.